This is an RNA transcript of Ipomoea nil (Japanese morning glory), 3191 nucleotides long. It is a transcript of the gene named pentatricopeptide repeat-containing protein At1g14470, with no coding region annotated. The record is from RefSeq and is a predicted model, not a curated record. The transcript has 2 exons. NCBI's taxonomy places the organism in Eukaryota, Viridiplantae, Streptophyta, Magnoliopsida, Solanales, Convolvulaceae.
AUUAAAAAGGAACAUUGCUUUUAGUCGUAUCAACACCACCACUGCACAUUGUCAUACUAUUACGGUUGCCCUCUCAUGUCAAGGUUGCGCAAUAUAAUAGCUAAAGUCACCAAAAUCAACCACCUGAGACAACUCCAUGCUCACCUCAUUCAUUACUCUCUUCACUGCCAAAGCUACUGGGUGGCCCUGCUCAUUAAUCUAUGCACGCGCCUCCAUGCUCCGCCGCCCUACACCCGUUACAUUUUCGAAUCAGCACAGGAACCGAACAUCUUUGUUUUCACCAGCAUGCUCAAGUACCAUUCCCAGUUGGGCGCCCAGAAUGAUGUUCUCCAAGUGUUUGCUGAAAUGCAGAAGUUUGGAGUGAGCCCCGAUGCGUUUGUCUACCCGAUACUGAUCAAAGCGACAGGGGAGGGUGGUGUUGUGUUCCACGCAAAGUUUAUUAAAAUGGGUAUUGAUUCCGAUAGGUUUAUACGCAAUGCCGUGAUGGAUAUGUAUGGAAAAUACGGGCCUAUUCAGGUUGCGAGGGAACUGUUUGAUGAAAUGCCUGAGAGGACUGUUGCAGAUUGGAAUUCGAUUAUUUCUGGAUACUGGAAUUGGAAGAAUGAGGUUGAAGCGCGGAGGAUGUUUGAUUUGAUGCCAGAGAAGAAUGUGAUUACUUGGACAGCGAUGGUGAGUGGGUACUCGAGAAUGAAGGAUUUGGUGAAUGCUAGGAGGUAUUUUAAUAAAAUGCCCGAGAAAAGCAUCGUUUCAUGGAAUGCAAUGCUUUCUGGCUAUGCUCAGAAUGGGUAUAAUGAGGAGGCAAUAAGGUUGUUCACUGAAAUGGUGAGUGUUGGAGUUAUUCCUGAUGAAACAACAUUGGUUACUGUUAUUUCUUCUUGUUCUUCAGAAGGUAUUCCUGCCCUUGCUGAGUGGCUUGUCAGGAUGAUCAACAAAAAGGGCAUUCAUUUGAAUUGUUUUGUCAAAACUGCACUUCUUGACAUGUAUGCUAAGCGUGGAAAUCUAGAGAUGGCUAGAAAGAUUUUUGAUGAGUUGGGUUCAUAUAGGAACUCUGUUACUUGGAAUGCAAUGAUUUCUGCAUAUGCAAGACACGGUGAUUUGGCUUUAGCUAAAGAACUCUUUGAUAGAAUGCCAGGGAGGAAUGUGGUGUCCUGGAAUUCUAUAAUAGCUGCUUAUGCACAGAAUGGACAAUCAAAAAUAGCAAUUGAUCUCUUCAAAGAGAUGAUUGAACAGGGAAUGAUUCCUGAUGAAGUAACUAUGCUUAGUGUAAUCUCAGCUUGCGGCCAUCUUGGGGCUUUGGAAUUUGGCAAAGAGGUGGUCAAUUUCCUGAUGAAGAACAAAAUUAAAUUGAACAUUUCGGGUUACAAUUCCUUGAUUUUCAUGUAUUCUAAGUGCGGAAGCAUGGAAGAUGCAAAAAUGGUGUUUCGAUCUUUGGAAACCAGAGAUGUGGUGUCCUAUAAUGCACUCAUUACAGGUUUGGCAGCUUAUGGUAAUGGCAAUGAAGCCCUUGAUUUUCUCUGGAAGAUGAAGGAAGAUAACCUUGAACCAGAUCGGAUAACGUAUACUGGAGUUCUAACAGCCUGCAGUCAUGCAGGAUUGGUGGAUGAUGGCCAAAGAAUUUUUGAAUCAAUCGAAUCUCCUGAUGUUGAUCAUUAUGCAUGCCUAGUGGACUUGUUAGGUAGAAAUGGCAAACUUGAUGAAGCAAAGGGGUGGAUUGAUAGAAUGCCACUGCAUCCUCAUGCUGGUGUAUAUGGUGCACUUUUAAAUGCUAGCUGUAUUCACAAAAGAAUUGAUCUUGGAGAGUUUGCAGCAACUAAACUCUUUGAGAUCGAACCAGAAAACUCAGGCAACUAUAUCUUGCUUUCUAAUAUAUAUGCUUCAGUAAGGAGGUGGGAAGAUGUAGAAAGAAUCAGAGGAUUGAUGAGUAAAGUGGGAAUUUUGAAGACAACUGGGUGGAGUUGGGUGGAACAUGAUGGCAAGAUGCACAAGUUCAUAGUCGGCGAUCAGUUGCAUGAGAAAUCAGAUGAUAUUUAUCGAGUACUUGGUGAGAUGGAAAACAAGAUGAGGCUUGCUGGAUACAUGGCUGACAAGAGCUGUGUUUUGAGAGACAUUGAGGAAGAAGAAAAGGAAGAAAUGAUAGGAAGCCAUAGCGAGAAAUUGGCUGUUGCUUUUGCAGUUCUAGUGACUGAACCGGGAUCUAUGAUACGAGUGGUAAAGAACCUCAGGAUCUGUAGGGAUUGUCACACUGCUAUAAAGAUCAUAUCAAAGUUAGAGAAAAGGGAGAUUAUUGUUAGGGACAACAAUAGGUUUCACUGCUUCAAAGAUGGGUUAUGUUCGUGCAAGGACUACUGGUAAUACUUGUGUUGCUUUGAACAUUUGGUAGCUGCACAUUGGAACAUGAUGUUAGAGCACAAAAGGCAUCAGUCUAGUGCCCCCACACCGUCUAGUUCUUCUUAUUAGAGCACAUAACAUUUUGCAAGCCUAUAAACUCCUAUUUGUGUUUAUAAUGAAAGUCAUCAACUCAUGCCUCUCAGAGCAUUCUGAGAUUGACACUAUGGUCUACAAUGCUGGGAUCUCUGCCACAAUAGAUACUCAAGUAUUUUUUGAAUUGAAAUGAUUCUUGCAAGAAAGGUGAAAUGAUUAAACUGUCAGCCAUCCAUUGUGUGAAGGUAAGAAAGAUUGGGCAAAGGCGUGAACGGACAAGGAAGGAGGCAAUUUGCAAGUGCAAUGAGUCAAGGAAGCACAAAAUGAAAGCAUAAGGACACGAAGCAAAUCAAGGAGCAGAAUUGGAGCUUAGGAGAAGAUCAAGAGGUGUGACCGUGACCUUCCCAGAGCAUUUUCUAAUCCCUAGGCUCCCGAUAACACUCAUUGCCAUGAGCAUCAGCGUGAGGCCGGGAAUCAGAAAGUUUCCUGGGAUGGUCACGGUCGCCCUCCCGACCGGGAGUUUGACCGGGACCAUGUGUCCAAAAUUUGUUGAGAUGGUUUCUUUGGUGCGAAUUGCAGAAUUGGAGGGUAUAAAUAAGCCUAGGCGGCUAAUUUUUAGCUUCUCUCUAGGCUUUCCUAAGGAGAAAACCUUUACACAACCUCUCUUCUUGUAAUCAUUCCAAAUUUGAUGAAGAAUUGGAGUUAAUUUUAGCUUGUAAUUCAUUUUGGUUUCAAUUUGAAGAUUGCAUUUUCCAUUGUUAUUGAUCAAA